UGGUUGGGAACAUAAAGGAAACGAGAGUG
RNAcentral lists this non-coding RNA (29 nucleotides) under Homo sapiens (human). Lineage: Eukaryota; Metazoa; Chordata; Mammalia; Primates; Hominidae. The record is from RNAcentral.